This 31-nucleotide non-coding RNA is filed under the name Rattus norvegicus (Norway rat). The record is from RNAcentral. Lineage: Eukaryota; Metazoa; Chordata; Mammalia; Rodentia; Muridae.
UGUCCUAAGGACUAGUGCCCAUGGGCCUUCC